AACGAACGUUAGCGGCGCGCCUAAGACAUGCAAGUCGAGCGAGAAAGGGAUUCGUCCCCGGUAAAGCGGCGCACGGGUGAGUAACACGUAGGUAAUCAACCCUCGAGUGGUGGACAACUCUCCGAAAGGAGAGCUAAUACAGCAUGACGUGGCGGUCCUCCGAGAUCGUUUCCAAAGCGGGCCUCUUCAUGAAAGCUCGCGCUCGAGGAUGAGCCUGCGGCCCAUCAGCUAGUUGGCGGGGUAACAGCCCACCAAGGCAUAGACGGGUAGCUGGUCUGAGAGGAUGAACAGCCACACUGGAACUGAGACACGGUCCAGACUCCUACGGGAGGCAGCAGUCGGGAAUCUUCCGCAAUGGGCGAAAGCCUGACGGAGCGACGCCGCGUGAGUGAUGAAGGCCUUCGGGUUGUAAAGCUCUGUGGGGAGGGAAGAAUAAGUUCAAGCGAAUACCUUGAAUGAUGACGGUACCUCCUUAGCAAGCACCGGCUAACUCUGUGCCAGCCGCCGCAGUAA
RNAcentral lists this ribosomal RNA (513 nucleotides) under uncultured bacterium. RNAcentral's name for it is "partial 16S ribosomal RNA". It matches the Rfam family "Bacterial small subunit ribosomal RNA", at positions 29 to 523 of the family's 1533-position model. The record is from RNAcentral.